AUACGGAGGAUCCGAGCGUUAUCCGGAUUUAUUGGGUUUAAAGGGUGCGUAGGUGGUUUGAUAAGUCAGCGGUGAAAGUUUGCAGCUUAACUGUAAAAAUGCGGUUGAAACUGUCGGACUUGAGUGUAUAUGAGGUAGGCGGAAUGCGUGGUGUAGCGGUGAAAUGCAUAGAUAUCACGCAGAACUCCGAUUGCGAAGGCAGCUUACUAAGCUACAACUGACACUGAAGCACGAAAGCGUGGGGAUCAAACAGGAUUAGAUACCCUGGUAGUCCACGCAGUAAACGAUGAUUACUAGCUGUUUGCGAUACACAGUAAGCGGCACAGCGAAAGCGUUAAGUAAUCCACCUGGGGAGUACGCCGGCAACGGUGAAACUCAAAUGAAUUGACGGGG
This 393-nucleotide ribosomal RNA is filed under the name uncultured bacterium. RNAcentral describes it as "partial 16S ribosomal RNA". It matches the Rfam family "Bacterial small subunit ribosomal RNA", at positions 523 to 918 of the family's 1533-position model. The record is from RNAcentral.